UCCCCGAUUGAUUCUGUCGGCGGUUAUAUGCUUGUCUCAAAGGCUAAGCCAUGCAUGUCUAAGUUCAAAUAACCUAUAAUGGUGAAACCGCGAACGGCUCAUUAUAACAGCUAUAAUGUACUUGAUGUUGAAUUAUCUAACGUGGAUAACUGUGGCAAUUCUAGAGCUAAUACAUGCACCAAAGCUCAAACUAAAAGGAUGAGCGCAUCUAUUAGAAUGAAUAAACCAAUGGGGUUUGUAAAAGAACUCAUAAAAUAAUUGGUGAAUCUGAAUAGCUAUAGCUGAUCGCAUGGUCUUGUACCGGCGACGUAUCUCACAAGUGUCUGCCUUAUCAACUUUCGAUGGUAGUUUAUGUGCCUACCAUGGUUGUAACGGGUAACGGAGAAUAAGGGUUCGACUCCGGAGAGGGAGCCUGAGAAACGGCUACCACAUCCAAGGAAGGCAGCAGGCGCGCAAAUUACCCACUCUCGGCAUGAGGAGGUAGUGACGAAAAAUAACGAGACCGUUCUCUUUGAGGCCGGUUAUCGGAAUGGGUACAAUUUAAACCUGUUAACGAGGAUCUAUGAGAGGGCAAGUCUGGUGCCAGCAGCCGCGGUAAUUCCAGCUCUCAAAGUGUAUAUCGUCAUUGCUGCGGUUAAAAAGCUCGUAGUUGGAUCUGCGUCUUAGGACUUGGUCCAUCCGAUUGGAUGUGAACUAAGAACCUAGACUAAUAUUUAGCUAGUUUUACUGUAUGUUACCUUAAUUGGUUGCAUAUAGUGGCUGGCAUGUUUACCUUGAAAAAAUUAGAGUGCUUAACGCGGGCUUAUAAUGCUUGAAUACUCGUGCAUGGAAUAAUGAAAUAGGAUCUUGAUUGUUGUAUGCCUAUUUUGUUGGUUUAAAACAUAAAUACAAUUGAGAUAAUGGUUAAGAGGGACGGACGGGGGCAUUCGUAUCGCUGCGUGAGAGGUGAAAUUCUUGGACCGUAGCGAGACGCCCAACUGCGAAAGCAUUUGCCAAGAAUGUCUUCAUUAAUCAAGAACGAAAGUCAGAGGUUCGAAGGCGAUCAGAUACCGCCCUAGUUCUGACCGUAAACGAUACCAACUAGCGUUCCGUUGGCGGUAAAUACGCCUUGACGGGCAGCUUCCCGGAAACGAAAGUUUUUCGGUUCCGGGGGAAGUAUGGUUGCAAAGCUGAAACUUAAAGAAAUUGACGGAAGGGCACCACCAGGAGUGGAGCCUGCGGCUUAAUUUGACUCAACACGGGAAAACUCACCUGGCCCGGACACCGUGAGGAUUGACAUAUUGAAAGCUCUUUCAUGAUUCGGUGGUUGGUGGUGCAUGGCCGUUCUUAGUUGGUGGAGUGAUUUGUCUGGUUUAUUCCGAUAACGAGCGAGACUCUAGCCUACUAAAUAGUUUAUGCUGGAUAAAUGUAUUCGUACGCUAGUCCAGACAACUUCUUAGAGGGACAAGCGGUGUUUAGCCGCAUGAAGUUGAGCAAUAACAGGUCUGUGAUGCCCUUAGAUGUCCAGGGCUGCACGCGCGCUACACUGGAGGAAUCAGCGUGCUGUAACCAUUGCUGAAAAGUUAUGGUAACCCCUUGAAAAUCCUCCUUGAUCGGGAUCGGGAAUUGCAAUUAUUUCCCUUGAACGAGGAAUUCCUAGUAAGUGUGAGUCAUCAGCUCACGUUGAUUACGUCCCUGCCCUUUGUACACACCGCCCGUCGCUGCCCGGGACUGAGCCGUUUCGAGAAAAGCGGGGACUGCUGUUUCGAUACCUUCAAAUUUCGUAAGGUGGAGAUUCUUUGGUGGAAACCGCUUUAAUCGCAGUGGCUUGAACCGGGCAAAAGUCGUAACAAGGUUUCCGUAGGUGAACCUGCGGAAGGAUCAUUA
Thelazia callipaeda (thelaziosis nematode) is the source of this 1866-nucleotide non-coding RNA. Lineage: Eukaryota; Metazoa; Nematoda; Chromadorea; Rhabditida; Thelaziidae. The record is from Rfam.